ACCGUGCCUUGAAAGUAAAAUUGCAAAUAAACAGCUUACCGCCGCUAUUUAAUUUGCGCCGUUAAAUUAUUGUCACCUUUGCACCGUUUUUUUUUAUUUAUGCGAAAUAAAAGAUUUUGUCAUGUAUUAUAUUGCGAAUCGUGAAAAAAAUAUAAAUGUCAAAUAAUCAAAUGUCAGUGACAUAAUAGAUAUGACAAUAGUAAAACACAAUAUUUUGCUAAGGAUAUAUAAUAUUAUUAAUGCUUACGAUGUCGUUCCAUUUGAUUGUAUUUCAGUAUUAACUGUUGUACCGCUGGACUGGUCUCAAGUAGGUCUUGAAGCUAGCUCCCGACCUGUGUAACGAGACGAGUGUCAUCUCCGAAUAUGUACAAGCUUUUGCAAGUGGGUUUAACUGUAAACACAUGGCUACAUCAGUUGAAUAACAUUAUAGCAAGUUUAUAAUUAUACUAGCUAGUCCCGCGGCUUUGCCUCAUUACCCGAACCCAAACCUAUAUCUAUUUAUAUAAUAAAACUAUAAGUGGGCAAUGCCUGAACAGGCAAGAAAAUGUACAUAGGCGAUAUUAAAGAAAAAUAAUAUAAUAAUAAUAAUAACGGAGAGUCAUUAUAGGACUAAUAGUAAUGAAUCAAAGUGGCUAUGGCAAAACUAAAUUUCUAUUUGUCUCAGUUUAUUUCGGAAGUGUGGUGCGCUUACGAUACGAUAUCACGAUACAAUAUUUCAUAGUAUCCAGCUUAGCACUCGAUAUUUGAAUUUUGGUGAUGCCUAUGCGUUAUAACUAUAAGCAAGACAUGAUGGAGCACCCAGGAUCGGCUCCCAGCGUGGGAGCUCCUCAACAGUUUACAGGACAGACAUGAUUUUUUGUGACGUUUUUGUUUUGAAUAAAACAAGAUC
Long non-coding RNA from Plodia interpunctella (Indianmeal moth), 889 nucleotides. RefSeq lists it as uncharacterized. The transcript has 4 exons. The record is from RefSeq and is a predicted model, not a curated record. NCBI's taxonomy places the organism in Eukaryota, Metazoa, Arthropoda, Insecta, Lepidoptera, Pyralidae.